GCCUGGGUAGUGUAAUGGAUCAGCACGGUAGACCGGAUAUCUGUAAGUGCGGGUUCGAGUCCCGCCUGAGGUU
Dictyocaulus viviparus (bovine lungworm) is the source of this 73-nucleotide non-coding RNA. Lineage: Eukaryota; Metazoa; Nematoda; Chromadorea; Rhabditida; Metastrongylidae. The record is from Rfam.